Molecule: ribosomal RNA, 462 nt
Filed under: uncultured bacterium
Lineage: Bacteria
Description: bacterial SSU rRNA
Rfam family: Bacterial small subunit ribosomal RNA
Source: RNAcentral
AACGAACGCUGGCGGCGUGGAUUAGGCAUGCAAGUCGAACGAGAAUCUGGUCAUUCAAGUUUUCGGACAAGAAUGGCCGGAGGACAGUGGCGGAAGGGUGAGGAAUACAUGGGCAAUCUAUCUUCAAGUUGGGUAUAACUCUGCGAAAGCGGAGAUAAUACCGAAUGUGGUGAUCCGGCGCAUGUCGGAGAAUCUAAAGGCGGGGACCGUAAGGCCUGUCGCUUGGAGCUGAGCCCGUGCACUAUCAGCUAGUUGGUGAGGUAACGGCCCACCAAGGCUAUGACGGUUAGCUGGUCUGAGAGGAUGGUCAGCCACACUGGGACUGAGAUACUGCCCAGACUCCUACGGGAGGCUGCAGUCGAGAAUCAUUCGCAAUGGGCGAAAGCCUGACGGUGCGACGUCGCGUGGAGGAUGAAGGUCUUCGGAUUGUAAACUCCUGUCAUGUGGGAUAAAUGGCCAGGG